Molecule: ribosomal RNA, 305 nt
Filed under: uncultured bacterium
Lineage: Bacteria
Description: bacterial SSU rRNA
Rfam family: Bacterial small subunit ribosomal RNA
Source: RNAcentral
GCCUACGGGAGGCAGCAGUGGGGAAUAUUGGGCAAUGGGCGCAAGCCUGACCCAGCAACGCCGCGUGAAGGAAGAAGGCUUUCGGGUUGUAAACUUCUUUUGACAGGGAAGAGCAGAAGACGGUACCUGUCGAAUAAGCCACGGCUAACUACGUGCCAGCAGCCGCGGUAAUACGUAGGUGGCAAGCGUUGUUCGGAAUAACUGGGCGUAAAGGAUGCGUAGGCGGUUAAACAAGUUAUAUGUUAAAUAUAUAGGCUUAACCUGUAGAAAGCAUAUAAAACUGUUUAACUAGAGUGCAGGAGAGG